AACGAACGCUGGCGGCAGGCUUAACACAUGCAAGUCGAACGCCCCGCAAGGGGAGUGGCAGACGGGUGAGUAACGCGUGGGAAUCUACCGUACCCUACGGAAUAGCUCCGGGAAACUGGAAUUAAUACCGUAUACGCCCUACGGGGGAAAGAUUUAUCGGGGUAUGAUGAGCCCGCGUUGGAUUAGCUAGUUGGUGGGGUAAAGGCCUACCAAGGCGACGAUCCAUAGCUGGUCUGAGAGGAUGAUCAGCCACAUUGGGACUGAGACACGGCCCAAACUCCUACGGGAGGCAGCAGUGGGGAAUAUUGGACAAUGGGCGCAAGCCUGAUCCAGCCAUGCCGCGUGAGUGAUGAAGGUCUUAGGAUUGUAAAGCUCUUUCACCGAUGAAGAUAAUGACGGUAGUCGGAGAAGAAGCCCCGGCUAACUUCGUGCCAGCCGCCGCCGUAA
RNAcentral lists this ribosomal RNA (447 nucleotides) under uncultured bacterium. RNAcentral describes it as "partial 16S ribosomal RNA". It matches the Rfam family "Bacterial small subunit ribosomal RNA", at positions 29 to 523 of the family's 1533-position model. The record is from RNAcentral.